RNAcentral lists this long non-coding RNA (699 nucleotides) under Rhinopithecus bieti (black snub-nosed monkey). RNAcentral describes it as "lncRNA (ENSRBIG00000046407.1)". Lineage: Eukaryota; Metazoa; Chordata; Mammalia; Primates; Cercopithecidae. The record is from RNAcentral.
AUCGUCAUAGGCUGACCCAAGCCUCUAUUGUUUUUAGAACUUUUAUUAACAGAAGAGGGAGACAAUUCUUUUUUCAGGAUCCAUACGUCUAUUAUUAUACAAAACUUCUGAUUGCAGCUACUUAGAACAUAUGGUUAUUUGGUGGGGCUGCAUGAGGGUUGGGAAUGGGGGCAGGCAGGGUUGACUGGGACUAAGCCACAUAUUUCUAUGGAUUCUGGGAGGAGAUAAUUCCCAAAGAAGAGUGUGCAACACAGAAGAAAACUGUCUAUUUAAGUAUAAAACAGGAAUCUUCAAAGGAAAUGUAAGAAAGCAUGAGACCGUGCAAAAUGAAAUGAUGAAAACUUUUGGCUAGCACGCUGAGAUCAAGUCAUCACAUGGAUGGGAACGUUUUCUAAUACGAGCACUAUCUUCCGUUUUGUUUCUCUCCCCAACAUCUCCUGCUGCCUUCAGUUGACAACCCUAUUUACAUCGCUUCUGAGAAAGUCAAGCUCAAAAAGAUUGUGUUAUGAAGACUUAGAAAUUAUGCUUUGUGGCAAAUGUGAUGCCAAGAUUCUUGCUUGGAGUGUGUACUGCAAUACAGGCACAGAGGCGUAUCAGAAAGGGUGAGGCCAGCGCAUGGAGGGCAGUGCAAUAAAUUGCUGUGGGCUGAUCCAACACCAGAACAUGUGAGCUAUUAAACUUUGGCAGCUAUUUUAUUUU